GGAAAGCCGAUCCCGCUAAUCUGCUCGGCUGACCGGUUGGGCAGCUGCACCGGCUGUUCACCUUCCCGGCCAGGCACGCCCAGGACCAGCGCGAGCUGUGCGAGGACCAGAGCAUGUGGGGGACGCGGCUGGCGCUGCUGGCGCUGGUGCUGGCUGCCCGCUGGGAGCUCGUGGUGGCCCUGCAAUGCUACACCUGUCACGAGCCCACCAGUGUGUCCAGCUGUGUCACCACCGCCACCUGCAGCUCCAACGAAACCAUGUGCAAAACCACACUCUACUCCCUGGAGAUCGUGUACCCCUUUCUGGGGGACUCCACGGUGACCAAGUCCUGUGCCAGCAAGUGCGUGCCCUCGGACGUGGAUGGCAUCGGCUUGACCCGGCCCGUGUCCUGCUGCAACACUGACCUGUGCAACGUGGAUGGGGCGUCUGCCCUGGGCAGCCCCCGCGGCCUGGCCACCACCCUCCUGCUCAGCCUCCUCAUCAUCCUGCAACUCUAAAGCCCCCCCCUCCCUCCCCGCCGCCCAGCCCCCAGUGCCUCGGAAGAAUCGCAGCCCCUCCUGCACCAGGCCUCCUGAAUCUCUUUUCUUGGAGCGGACCUGUCCGCUGGGCAGGGGAGCACCGCCCGCUGCGUUGCUGGCUCUGUCAGCCUAGGCCCUGUCCCCCUUGGGCCUCUCGGUCCUUCCAUCUGUGUCCCAAGGCCUCUGCCCACCCCAGCCCCCCGGGCUCUCUUGGGAGCUGCCUCCCCCGUGCCCACAUUGCUGCCCUGUCUGUCCAUGUGCCCUCCAUCUCCCUGUGACAUGGUAAGCAGAGACGGUCACUGGUCCUGGGACACUGGGCAGGUCCCUGCUCACCUGGCCUUGGCGGGUCUGGGUGCCUGAUCAGGCAGGGCAGGGAGUCGGGUAUCAUGGGCAGGGGAGCUCCACGGCCACAAGGACUAGGUCAGGGGUGGCUUCUUGGAGGGGGCACCAGGGUCGCCCCUGAACGACAGGGAGACUGGGUGGGUAGAAGAGGCAGCCCAGGCGGAAGGUAAGUCCAGGGGGCCCAAGAGUGGCCGAGGGUCUGGGGUUACUCCAUGAAGCGCCCCACAGCUCACUGGCCUGGCCCCUGAACAAGGCUUUACACGUGGCUGGUCCCCUGCGUUGUGUGGCAGAGGGUGCUGAGAGGAGGCUGGCAGGCGGGCUGGCCCUUCUGCAGUGCCCCCCCUCCCAGAAAGCCCUGGCCCCACCCUCACCAAGCCCCAUGCCCUGGUGUGCAGGGCAGCCCAAGCUCCAGUGCAGAGGGGACUUUGGCUUCACCUUGGCCUUGGGCCAGCACCAAAGCCUCCAGACCAUCUCUCAGAGGGCCACCUGCCCGACAGGCCUCUCCCACCUUCCCCCACCCGAAACAUGCACCUGUCUCAGAAGCACUCGGGACAGGCCGGCGCCUGAAAAAGGAUGGACCCGGGGGCAGGAGGCGAGCCCUGCUCACCCCGGUUCCUGCCCUCCUCUCAGCCUGUCCCUGCCCCUCCCUGCUCUCCUAGGUCCUGGGGUGAGGGGGCCUCCUGGGCUCUGCAAGGGGCCCCCAGCGCCUCCAGCUGAGCUGAGACGGGUCCACACAGCCUUUCUUCUGCACCACAGGGCACCCCAGCCCACAACCCUGAGUCCAGAGACCCCCCCCCAAUCAGCCAACCCCUCUUCAAGGAGCUCCUGCUCCCGGAUGGAGGGCGGUGGUGGCCAGGACCCAAAGCAGGGCUGUCCUGGGUGAGGGACUCCCGCCUGUGCGAGAAGAGACUGGAGCCUAGGAUUCCCCCUGCUCCUUGGGCCCCAGGAGCUCCACCCUCUGCUUCCUGUGGGCAGGACUCUUGUCCGAGCCAGCUCCCAGGGGGCUGGACCCUCACAGAGACCCUGUGCGGCUCUCUGAGCAGACCCUGGAAUGGCAGGUCACCGGGGGCCAGAAUGUUCAAACACUGUCUUGGAGGCCACACUUGGGGCUGUGACUCUGAGCCUUGACCUUUGGGAGGGAAGACUGCCCUCAGUUGUCCAUCACAGCCCUCAGCUGGCCCUGUUCCCACAGAAGCAGGGAGACAGGGCUUGCCUGGCCUCAGACUCAGGAAACACAGACACACACAGACAGACACACACACAUGAACACACGGCUGUACGGAGACACAUGGGGAGGCUGGAUGCCACCCCCACCCCGGCUACCACCCCACCUGCAGUGCCCUCCCUGCCAUCCUAAACCUCCAACGUCAUCCGGCUCCUCAAAGCUGGGCCAGGGCCCUGCCCAGGCAGCCUCCCCCGACGGCAUGUGGGAUUCCCAUCCCGAGCCAGGACCGGCCUGUUCUGGGCACGCCCGCCCCACCGCUGCUCCGUCCCGCCUCCUGUGGACACACCCUCACCAGCCACCCUCAGGCUUAAUCACCCUCUGCCCAGCCCUCACGGAAAAGGGGCUCAGGGUAGCUUGUGCACAGACGGUCCCGCAGGAGACAGGGGGAGCAAGCCCCACUCAACCCAUCAGGCUCUAGGCCAGACACUUCCAGCUCUUCUCGAAACACCCUGGGUGCGUUGGGGGACCAAGCCCCAGAGAAGAGCCUCCCCUGCUGCGCCCGCCUGACUGCUUGAUAUGCGGUAACCAGUGUCUCUCCCUUGGCAAACAUGACUUGCCUUUGUUUCCUUGC
This 2656-nucleotide long non-coding RNA is filed under the name Sus scrofa (pig). RNAcentral describes it as "lncRNA (ENSSSCG00045005811.1)". Lineage: Eukaryota; Metazoa; Chordata; Mammalia; Artiodactyla; Suidae. The record is from RNAcentral.